Molecule: ribosomal RNA, 469 nt
Filed under: uncultured bacterium
Lineage: Bacteria
Description: bacterial SSU rRNA
Rfam family: Bacterial small subunit ribosomal RNA
Source: RNAcentral
AUUGAACGCUGGCGGCAGGCCUAACACAUGCAAGUCGAGCGAGAAAGUUCUUCGGAAUGAGUACAGCGGCGGACGGGUGCGUAACGCGUAGGAAUCUACCUAGUAGUGGGGGACAACAUGGGGAAACUCAUGCUAAUACCGCAUACGCCCUACGGGGGAAAGCGGGGGACCUUCGGGCCUCGUGCUAUUAGAUGAGCCUGCGUAAGAUUAGCUUGUUGGUGGGGUAAAAGCCUACCAAGGCGACGAUCUUUAGCUGGUCUGAGAGGAUGAUCAGCCACACUGGAACUGAGACACGGUCCAGACUCCUACGGGAGGCAGCAGUGGGGAAUAUUGCACAAUGGGGGAAACCCUGAUGCAGCCAUGCCGCGUGUGUGAAGAAGGCCUCGGUUGUAAGACACUUUAAGUACAGUGAGGAAAGGGGUAGGUAGUUAAUUAAGCUGCACUCUGUGACGUUAACUAGCAGAAUAAG